UACGGAAGGGGCAAGCGUUGUUCGGAAUCAUUGGGCGUAAAGGGCGCGUAGGUGGUUCUGUAUGUCUACCGUGAAAGCGUACGGCUCAACCGUAUUUUGUCGGUAGAAACUGCAGGACUUGAGGCUGGGAGGGGCUGGUGGAAUUCCCUGUGUAGCGGUGAAAUGCGUAGAGAUGGGGAGAACACUCGUGGCGAAGGCGGCCAGCUAGACCAGUUCUGACACUGAGGCGCGACAGCGUGGGGAGCAAACAGG
Molecule: ribosomal RNA, 252 nt
Filed under: uncultured bacterium
Lineage: Bacteria
Description: partial 16S ribosomal RNA
Rfam family: Bacterial small subunit ribosomal RNA
Source: RNAcentral